This 572-nucleotide ribosomal RNA is filed under the name uncultured Pseudomonadota bacterium. RNAcentral's name for it is "bacterial SSU rRNA". It matches the Rfam family "Bacterial small subunit ribosomal RNA", at positions 8 to 522 of the family's 1533-position model. Lineage: Bacteria; Pseudomonadati; Pseudomonadota. The record is from RNAcentral.
AGAGUUUGAUCAUGGCUCAGAGCGAACGCUGGCGGCAGGCCUAACACAUGCAAGUCGAGCGCCCCUCCUUCAAGCGAGCUUGGAGGAUUGCGGAGCGGUCUCCUUGGGCGGGCGAAAGCUCGCUUGACGGACAUCGCUGUGAGUUCAAGCGAGCCUUUAGGGGCUCGCUUGAUGGAGGGGAGCGGCAGACGGGAGAGUAACACGUGGGAACGUACCCUUUGGUUCGGAACAACCCAGGGAAACUUGGGCUAAUACCGAAUAAGCCCUUACGGGGAAAGAUUUAUCGCCGAAGGAUCGGCCCGCGUCUGAUUAGCUAGUUGGUGAGGUAACGGCUCACCAAGGCGACGAUCAGUAGCUGGUCUGAGAGGAUGAUCAGCCUCACUGGGACUGAGACACGGCCCAGACUCCUACGGGAGGCAGCAGUGGGGAAUAUUGGACAAUGGGCGCAAGCCUGAUCCAGCCAUGCCGCGUGGGUGAUGAAGGCCCUAGGGUUGUAAAGCCCUUUCGGCGGGGAAGAUAAUGACGGUACCCGCAGAAGAAGCCCGGCUAACUUCGUGCCAGCAGCCGCGGUA